CAGGGAUAAAAGGUAAUGCUAGGCCAGGUGCAGAGGCUCAGGCCUGUAUUCCUGCAAUUUGGGAGGCCAAGAUUGUGCGACCCCGACGUGAUCCCCUGCCCGGUACCCGAUCCCAAGUAACAGCUCGAGCGAGAGUUGGAAGCCGAGUUCAGGUUUAUUGGGACCAGCGGGCAGGCCAGGAAAGGAAGGAGAUCGGGGGCUGGCUGCGACUGCGCAGCUGGGGUAGGAGGGUUUUAUAGGGGGGGUGGACGGGGCGUGGAUACAGGGCUGGCUGAGUGUCGUAGGAGCUUAGGAUAGGCUGUCCGUUUCUGGGCGGACUGCUGAGGUAGCUCAGAGGGUUAUGUGUCGGUUCAGGAUAGGCCGAGGCUUGGCGGGCUUUCCUGCUGCGAUGAUUGGCUGCUUGUUGUUGCUAGGCAGAACAGAGCAGGCUUGGCGGGCUUUUCUCAGGGUAGCAAGAAGCCUGGGGGGCGGGGGGGGGCAAGAACCCUGGGGGAAAGAUGGCGGGACUUUCUACCGAACAAAGAUGGGCGGGUCAUCUGAGGCAAGGAGUUCAAGACCAACCUGGCCAAUUCGGUGAAAUCCUGUCUCUACUAAAAAAUACAAAAAUUAGCCAGGACAGGCAUUCCUUGCCAAGGAUUAAAAGGAGUUCCGCAUUCCUCACAGGCUCCAAUGAACAUCUUGGCUUACGUGUCCUCCUACCUAAGAAUCUGCUCUUCACAAUGGAAGAAGAGGAAAUCAACAGAGUGGAAAAACUGGAUGAAGAUUAUGAAUAAAAUAAGCGUGUGUCCUUCAAGGCCUGUGAAAACAUGAAAAAUAAUCUGAAGAGCCUUUCUCAUCUAAUUUAGGAUCCACUCAUGCCCAAAUGAAGUGUCUAAUGUACAGUCAAGGGGGCCAGGAUUGGGGUAACAAAGAUAUUGAAAGCCCAUUGAUAUGGUUUGGCCAUGUCCCCAAUCAAGUCUCAUCUUGAAUUGUAGUUUCCAUAAUCCUCAUCAUCGGAGGGACCUGAUGAGAAGUAACUAAAUCACGGGGGCAGUUUUCUCCUUGCUAUUCCCGUGAUAGUGAGUAAGUUCUCAUAAGACCUGACGGUUUUACAUGAGAACCAAGUGAAGGCACUUCCCCCUUCACUUAGUUCUCAUUCUGUCUCCUGUGCCAUGUGAAGAAAGACAUAUUUGCUUCCCCUUCUGGCAUGAUGAUAAGUUUCCUGAGGCCUCCUCAGCCAUGCAAAACUGUGAGUCAAUUAAACCUCUUUUCUUUAUAUAUUACACAGUCUCAGGUAUGUCUUUAUUAGCAGUGUGAGAAUGGAUUCAUACACCCAUGGUUUAUCAAAACAAACAAAUGAAAACCAAAUGCAAUUCCAGGUCAUCUCUGAGCUGCAAGAGGGCUAGCUGUCAUCUUGGAUGUAAGUUCCACAUGGCUCUCACCUCAAGCAGAGUUAAUACAUUUGAGAUAGUCAAGGGCAUUUACCAGCAAUCCAUCAGUGAAUAUUUAUUGAGUACAUUGGACAGCAACUGGCUUGCUUGCUUAAAACAGUAAUGAAACACAUCACAGUUUUAUCAGAGAAGAGUUCCAGGAGGAAAUCUCUAGGUAAUGAGAGAGAAAUGUAAAAGCAACCCCAACUACCCCUAAUCCCUCUAACGCAUAGAGGUUUACUUUUCCCUUAAGAAUUUCAAUUUCUCCUACUAUCAUAAAACCUAACUCUUCUUCCUUUAAGCCCCCAUUCAACUUUAGAAAAAAAUGUUCUUUCCUUGGUUCCUCCAGUGACACCUAGAGAGCCUGACAUUUGCAAGAACAACUUUGCCAAUUAUUAAGACACAACAAAAAUAAUAUUUUGUAGACAGUUUCCCAAAGGAAAAAUGGUCAUGUCUCCAAAGUUGUUGAACUGGUGAUAACUCUGCUGUAGCCACAGACAGCAGGACAGGUCAUCAGCCACCAUGAAGCUUCCAGCUCAUUCUGCUUCGCAGACAAUUCCUAAGACCCACAGCUCUCUUACACGUUCCAUACUUUAUUUCCUAGGGAAGCACAGCACCUAUUUAACUGAGGGUCAUAACAAGUAUGUGAUGCUUUGAAGCUGAAGAGUAUUAAGGAACAUCAGUACUCCCCCUAGCAUGAUGGCUCAUACCUGUAAUUCCAGGACUUUGGGAGGCAAAGGUGUGAGGAUUACUUGAGGGCAGGAGAUCGAGACCAGAGUGAGCAACAUGGCAAGACCCAAUUUCUACAAAAAAUACAAAAAUUAGACAGGUAUGGUGGCAUGCACAUAUAGUCUCAGGUCCUUAGGAGGCUGAGGCAGGAGGAUCACUUGUUCCCAGCAGUUUGAGGCUUCAGUGAGCAAUGAUUGUGCCACUGCACUCCGUCCUAGGUAGCAGAGAGAGACCCUGUCUCACAGUCCUGUGUCCUAUCUUCUGGCCUUUUUCUUCAUUUUUUUUUUUUUUUUUUUUUUUUUGAUGAAGUUUUGAUCUUAUCACCCAGGCUGGAGUGCAAUGGCAUAGUCUCAGCUCACUGCAACCUCUGCCUCCCAGGUUCAAGCAAUUCUCCUGCCACAGACUUCCAAGUAGUUGACAUUACCGGUGCCUGCCACCAUGCCCAGAUAAUAUUUUUGUCUUUUUAGUAGAGAGAGGUUUUCACCAUGCUGACCAAGCUGGUCUCGAACUCCUGAUCUCAGGUGAUCUGCCCACCUUGGCCUCCCAAAGUGCUGGGAGUACAGGUAUAAGCCACCAUGCCCAGCCUUUUCCCUUCAUUUUUAAUGUGUCAUACCAACUGAAGACCACAAUCAAUUAAUUGGAAAAAGAAAGCUGACACUAAU
This is a long non-coding RNA of Callithrix jacchus (white-tufted-ear marmoset), 2800 nucleotides long. Lineage: Eukaryota; Metazoa; Chordata; Mammalia; Primates; Cebidae. The record is from Ensembl.